RNAcentral lists this long non-coding RNA (481 nucleotides) under Setaria italica (foxtail millet). RNAcentral's name for it is "long non-coding RNA (SITA_LNC000717)". The record is from RNAcentral. Lineage: Eukaryota; Viridiplantae; Streptophyta; Magnoliopsida; Poales; Poaceae.
CAGGUUUGUUCUCUGAACUCUCUGAUUCUUUUUAGCAGCAGGGAAAGUUUGCACCGCACAAGAAAGGUCCGGUUCAAGAAGGCUCUUCCUUUGAGUUUAUUAGACUCCUCAAAGGGAGUUUGUUCUUGGGUUUGGAUUUUUUCUCAACCUCAUCACACCUCUCCUAGGAGGAACAGAGAUCCAGAGAACCUUUUUUCUCUUCUGGAUUCUUGCCGCCUUUUGGCCUUUCGAAAGGGUUCUUUUGCAAUACCCUUCUUGUUCAUCACCCCUUUUUCUUUUUCUUUGCACAAAACCCGCUGUUUCUCUACUUUUAUUGAGGAACAGGGCUGAUUUCCAAACUUUUUUUCUACUUUAAUUUGCAUAAAAAGCUCCUUUUAUUUCUCACCGUUUUUAGUUGCCCCAGCCUCUUCUUCUAGCUCCAUCCAACUAGUCAUAAUGGCCGCAGCCAUAGAUAUGUACAAGUAUUACAACACUAGUGCAC